UACGGGGGGGGUAAGCGUUGUUCGGAAUUACUGGGCGUAAAGGGCUCGUAGGCGGCCAACUAAGUCGGACGUGAAAUCCCUCAGCUUAACUGGGGAACUGCGUCCGAUACUGGAUGGCUUGGAUUUGGGAGAGGGAUGCGGAAUUCCAGGUGUAGCGGUGAAAUGCGUAGAUAUCGGAAGGAACACCUGUGGCGAAAGCGGCUCACUGGACCAUAACUGACGCUGAGGCGCGAAAGCUAGGGGAGCAAACGGG
Molecule: ribosomal RNA, 253 nt
Filed under: uncultured bacterium
Lineage: Bacteria
Description: partial 16S ribosomal RNA
Rfam family: Bacterial small subunit ribosomal RNA
Source: RNAcentral